UAGUGUCCCCAUGUCUCUCAGUGUCCCCAUGUCACUAGGACACACAGAGACAUUGGGACACUGUGAGAUAUGGGGACACUGAGAGACCUGGGGACACA
RNAcentral lists this microRNA precursor (98 nucleotides) under Pelobates cultripes (western spadefoot toad). Lineage: Eukaryota; Metazoa; Chordata; Amphibia; Anura; Pelobatidae. The record is from RNAcentral.